RNAcentral lists this ribosomal RNA (323 nucleotides) under Phareicranaus hermosa. RNAcentral describes it as "partial 16S ribosomal RNA". The record is from RNAcentral. Lineage: Eukaryota; Metazoa; Arthropoda; Arachnida; Opiliones; Cranaidae.
GCAUAAUCAAUAGUUUUUUAAUUGAAGACUGGGAUGAAAGAUAAAUUCUGAGGAGAAAGUUUUAUUUAAUAAAUUUGAAUUUUAAUUAAAAGUAAAAAUGCUUUUGUUAAAUUUUAGGACGAGAAGACCCUAGAAGCUUAUAAUAAAUUAUAAUAAUUCAAUAGAAUUAAUUAUUCAAUAUUUUUUAUUGGGGCAAUAUUUGAAGAAAAAAAUUUUUAGUUUAAAAUUAGAAAAUUUUAAAAGUUACUCUAGGGAUAACAGGGUAAUUUAAUUUAAGAGUUCUUAUUAAAAAUUAAGUUUGCUACCUCGAUGUUGAAUUAAAA